RNAcentral lists this ribosomal RNA (872 nucleotides) under uncultured bacterium. RNAcentral's name for it is "bacterial SSU rRNA". It matches the Rfam family "Bacterial small subunit ribosomal RNA", at positions 28 to 896 of the family's 1533-position model. The record is from RNAcentral.
AUUGAACGCUGGCGGCAUGCUUUACACAUGCAAGUCGAACGGUAACAGGUCUUCGGAUGCUGACGAGUGGCGAACGGGUGAGUAAUGCAUCGGAACGUGCCCAGUCGUGGGGGAUAACGCAGCGAAAGCUGUGCUAAUACCGCAUACGAUCUAUGGAUGAAAGCGGGGGACUCGCAAGGGCCUCGCGCGAUUGGAGCGGCCGAUGUCAGAUUAGGUAGUUGGUGGGGUAAAGGCUCACCAAGCCAACGAUCUGUAGCUGGUCUGAGAGGACGACCAGCCACACUGGAACUGAGACACGGUCCAGACUCCUACGGGAGGCAGCAGUGGGGAAUUUUGGACAAUGGGCGCAAGCCUGAUCCAGCAAUGCCGCGUGCAGGAAGAAGGCCUUCGGGUUGUAAACUGCUUUUGUACGGAACGAAACGGUCCUGGUUAAUACCUGGGGCUAAUGACGGUACCGUAAGAAUAAGCACCGGCUAACUACGUGCCAGCAGCCGCGGUAAUACGUAGGGUGCAAGCGUUAAUCGGAAUUACUGGGCGUAAAGCGUGCGCAGGCGGUUUUGUAAGACAGUCGUGAAAUCCCCGGGCUCAACCUGGGAAUUGCGAUUGUGACUGCAAGGCUGGAGUGCGGCAGAGGGGGAUGGAAUUCCGCGUGUAGCAGUGAAACGCGUAGAUAUGCGGAGGAACACCGAUGGCGAAGGCAAUCCCCUGGGCCUGCACUGACGCUCAUGCACGAAAGCGUGGGGAGCAAACAGGAUUAGAUACCCUGGUAGUCCACGCCCUAAACGAUGUCAACUGGUUGUUGGGUCUCUUCUGACUCAGUAACGAAGCUAACGCGUGAAGUUGACCGCCUGGGGAGUACGGCCGCAAGGUUG